Molecule: small nuclear RNA, 104 nt
Filed under: Salvator merianae (Argentine black and white tegu)
Lineage: Eukaryota; Metazoa; Chordata; Lepidosauria; Squamata; Teiidae
Source: RNAcentral
GUGCUUGCUUCAGCAGCACAUAUACUAAAAUUAGAACGAUAUGGGGAUUAGCAUGGCUCCUGCACAAGGAUGAUAUGCAAAUUCAUGAAGCAUUCCAUAUCUUU